AGUGAACGCUGGCGGUAGGCCUAACACAUGCAAGUCGAACGGCAGCACAGUAAGAGCUUGCUCUUACGGGUGGCGAGUGGCGGACGGGUGAGGAAUACAUCGGAAUCUACUUUUUCGUGGGGGAUAACGUAGGGAAACUUACGCUAAUACCGCAUACGACCUACGGGUGAAAGCAGGGGAUCUUCGGACCUUGCGCGAUUGAAUGAGCCGAUGUCGGAUUAGCUAGUUGGCGGGGUAAAGGCCCACCAAGGCGGCGAUCCGUAGCUGGUCUGAGAGGAUGAUCAGCCACACUGGAAAUGAGACACGGUCCAGACUCCUACGGGAGGCAGCAGUGGGGAAUAUUGGACAAUGGGCGCAAGCCUGAUCCAGCCAUACCGCGUGGGUGAAGAAGGCCUUCGGGUUGUAAAGCCCUUUUGUUGGGAAAGAAAAGCAGCAGGUUAAUACCCCGCUGUUCUGACGGUACCCAAAGAAUAAGCACCGGCUAACUUCGU
RNAcentral lists this ribosomal RNA (491 nucleotides) under uncultured bacterium. RNAcentral describes it as "partial 16S ribosomal RNA". It matches the Rfam family "Bacterial small subunit ribosomal RNA", at positions 29 to 506 of the family's 1533-position model. The record is from RNAcentral.